ACUAGGUACAUUUAAGAGUUCUUUUAUAGGCAGAUGAAUCGGGAAGUCCGGUGCAAGUCCGGCACAGCCCCGCUACUGUAAGGGGAUACGAAAGCCAGAUUCUCAGGCAGCGGUAAAGUUUACGUGUAGUAACUACCGCUUGAGGAAAGACCACUUUCAAAAGGAAGGUCUGGCCAGUAGGUGUAAGCCCCGAGUCAGGAAACCGAAAAUCCUUCGCGGGUAAGG
Molecule: non-coding RNA, 225 nt
Filed under: Candidatus Zhuqueibacterota
Lineage: Bacteria; Pseudomonadati
Source: RNAcentral